GCUGGGGUAGCUCAGAUGGCUAGAGCGCCUGACUGUGGAUCAGGAGGUCGGGAGUUCGACCCUCCCCCCCAGUA
Molecule: transfer RNA, 74 nt
Filed under: Candidatus Zixiibacteriota bacterium
Lineage: Bacteria; Pseudomonadati; Candidatus Zixiibacteriota
Description: tRNA-His
Rfam family: tRNA
About the family: Transfer RNA (tRNA) molecules are approximately 80 nucleotides in length. Their secondary structure includes four short double-helical elements and three loops (D, anti-codon, and T loops).
Source: RNAcentral